GUGCUCGCUCCGGCAGCACAUAUACUAAAAUUGGAACAAUACAGACAAGAUUAGCAGGGCCCCUGCACAAGGAUGACGAAACACUGAAGGUUUGCAAUGGCAA
Molecule: small nuclear RNA, 103 nt
Organism: Ochotona princeps (American pika)
Lineage: Eukaryota; Metazoa; Chordata; Mammalia; Lagomorpha; Ochotonidae
Source: Ensembl